GCUUAGAUCUGGUAGCAAGUUUCAAGAGGCUGUGCAGCAGACUGCAGCCCACAGGAGUCCAUUCACAUGGAUCUCCAUACACAAGCAGUGGACUUCAGAUGUAAAUGAAGAGGAAUAACCAGGGAGGCUUCCUUCAAGGGACAGUAAAGUGCCAAGAGCUGCAUGAAGAGCACAGUGCAAAUGUUUUGAGAGUCUCCCACAAAAGGAUCUGUUGUUUUGGAUGACGUAGGAUCACAACUUUCAGCAUUACAACGCCAAAGUAGUCACCAAGCUGGACAGUGGAUUAGAUGACUGGG
Lepidothrix coronata (blue-crowned manakin) is the source of this 296-nucleotide long non-coding RNA. RefSeq lists it as uncharacterized. NCBI's taxonomy places the organism in Eukaryota, Metazoa, Chordata, Aves, Passeriformes, Pipridae. The record is from RefSeq and is a predicted model, not a curated record. The transcript has 4 exons.